Molecule: microRNA precursor, 76 nt
Filed under: Pongo abelii (Sumatran orangutan)
Lineage: Eukaryota; Metazoa; Chordata; Mammalia; Primates; Hominidae
Description: miRNA
Source: RNAcentral
CUUGUCAUGUCUUACCCAAUCUCUGGUGCAGCCUUGACAACAAGGCUGCACCAGAGAUUGGGUAAGACAUGACAAG